This is a long non-coding RNA of Lactuca sativa (garden lettuce), 1332 nucleotides long. RefSeq lists it as uncharacterized. The record is from RefSeq and is a predicted model, not a curated record. NCBI's taxonomy places the organism in Eukaryota, Viridiplantae, Streptophyta, Magnoliopsida, Asterales, Asteraceae.
GAUGGGUCAUGCAUGUAACAGUAAUGAUGAGCCACCACAUUCAUUCCAUGGAGGUUUUCUGGAUCACCAGAUCGAUGGUAAUUAAGAUUUAUUCUAUUUCAUUGUAUUUCAUAUUGUAUGUAUAUAAAAAAUUAUUUUGACUAAUAUUUAUUUUAUGCAACGGUGCCUCCAAAACGAAGAGGCCUGACAGUAAACAAAAAAAUGUACAAGUUAUUUGCAGCUAACGACAAUUUUCCUUUGAUGAUAAUAUUUGACCUAAAUACUCACAUUCCAAUUUGGAAGUAUACAAAUGUUUCAUUCGGGAGGUUGGGAGCUAUAUGUGGCGCGACAUCGGUUUCGAUAAGGACACAUGGAAAGAAGUUUCUGAAGCUGAAAGGGUUGACAUGUUCGAGUAUCUUUCGACGUGGUUAAAUUUUGGAGCAUUUUCAAAUGAUCCCAUGGCUUCAGUUUAUUGGGCGUCACUGAAUAAUCGGAUAUGUGCGCGGUAUAGAAGCCGCAAAAAUAUUGCAAAUCGUUUUACUGGUUUUGAAGGGGAUGUGGAGGCAGCAAGGGCUCAGGCCCCUGGGGUAUGGAUCUACAGUGUUGGAGUGAUGCUAUUGACCACUUCGUAACAAAAAGCAUCAAAAACGAUCCAAUGAAAAGAAAGAAUGUCGGAAGAAGCAAGUAGUUAAGAAUCGUGGACGAACCUGCAGCCACAGUAGUGCUUGUUUUAUGAACAUAAGUUACAAUAAUGCUUAUUCAGUUAUAACAUAUUUUUUAAUGUUUAUUCAAGUAUAACAUAUUUUGUAAUGUUAAACAGAUUUUGUAUAGACUUGAAGCAUUUCAUCGUGGGCAUGUGAAUAAAAAAGGGGAAUUUGUUGAUCCUUUGGUUGAAGACCAAUAUACUCAUCACAUAGCGACUCUGGUGGUGAUCCAGACUCCAUUGAUUGGAUCGCAAUAUUUGAGAAGGUGUUAGGUGCUCAAAGGGGGCAUGUGAGAGGCAUUAGGCUUAAACCUCCUUCUACAACGGAUACAAGUGUUCCAUCCCAAUGGCAGUCACAAUCACAAGUACCACAAUCAACACAGGAUGUUGAUGUGAAUGUUUUUCUUCAAAACCCGGCGUUUGUGACGACAAUUGGAGAUAUUAUCCGCUUGUUUAUAAACAAAGUCAACAACGAGGAAAACAACAAUGGGGAAGACGAAGACACACAUUAUUUCUUGUUUUAUGUUAUGGAUGAUGUUAUUUUUGAUUUAUUAGAUAGUUUAUGUAAUGUGGUAUAUUUGAUGUUUUAUGUAAUGUGGUAUGUAUUUUUAUCAAAUUUGCAUUUUAUAAUAUAUAUAUAAAAAAACUAA